This 349-nucleotide ribosomal RNA is filed under the name uncultured bacterium. RNAcentral describes it as "bacterial SSU rRNA". It matches the Rfam family "Bacterial small subunit ribosomal RNA", at positions 28 to 381 of the family's 1533-position model. The record is from RNAcentral.
GAUGAACGCUAGCGGCAGGCUUAACACAUGCAAGUCGAGGGGGUAUAGUUCUUCGGAACUAGAGACCGGCGCACGGGUGCGUAACGCGUAUGCAAUCUACCUUUCACAAAGGGAUAGCCCAGAGAAAUUUGGAUUAAUACCUUAUAGUAAUACGACUUGGCAUCAAGAUGUAUUAAAGAUUUAUCGGUGAAGAUGAGCAUGCGUCCCAUUAGCUUGUUGGUAAGGUAACGGCUUAACCAAGGCAACGAUGGGUAGGGUCCUGAGAGGGAGAUCCCCACACUGGUACUGAGACACGGACCAGACUCCACGGAGGCAGNAGUGAGGAAUAUUAGGGACAAUAGGGCGCAAG